RNAcentral lists this ribosomal RNA (229 nucleotides) under Abyssorchomene distinctus. RNAcentral describes it as "partial 16S ribosomal RNA". The stretch from base 82 to 229 matches the Rfam family "Bacterial large subunit ribosomal RNA", at positions 2473 to 2620 of the family's 2925-position model. The record is from RNAcentral. Lineage: Eukaryota; Metazoa; Arthropoda; Malacostraca; Amphipoda; Lysianassidae.
CUUUUAAAAGAUUGAGGUUUAGUUAACAUUAAUGUGGGUUUAGUUCUUAUAAAUAAUAAAAAUUGAAUUAGUUACUUUAGGGAUAACAGCGUAAUAAUCUCGGAAAGUUCAUAUUUAUGGAGUAGAUUGCGACCUCGAUGUUGAAUUAAAAUAAUCUUAGUGGAGUAGAAGCUAUUUGAGAGGGUUUGUUCAACCUUUAAAUUUUUACAUGAUCAGAGAUCAGACCGGA